This 253-nucleotide ribosomal RNA is filed under the name uncultured prokaryote. RNAcentral describes it as "partial 16S ribosomal RNA". It matches the Rfam family "Bacterial small subunit ribosomal RNA", at positions 525 to 777 of the family's 1533-position model. The record is from RNAcentral.
ACGUAGGACACAAGCGUUAUCCGGAGUUACUGGGCGUAAAGGGCGCGUAGGCGGCUGUUCAAGUCGGGGGUGAAAGCCUGUGGCUCAACCACAGAAUUGCCUUCGAUACUGGACGGCUCGAGACCGGAAGAGGUCAGUGGAACUGCGAGUGUAGAGGUGAAAUUCGUAGAUAUUCGCAAGAACACCAGUGGCGAAGGCGGCUGACUGGUCCGGUUCUGACGCUGAGGCGCGAAAGCGUGGGGAGCAAACAGGA